UGAACCUUCGGGGAACGAUAACGGCGUCGAGCGGCGGACGGGUGAGUAAUGCCUAGGAAAUUGCCCUGAUGUGGGGGAUAACCAUUGGAAACGAUGGCUAAUACCGCAUAAUACCUACGGGUCAAAGAGGGGGACCUUCGGGCCUCUCGCGUCAGGAUAUGCCUAGGUGGGAUUAGCUAGUUGGUGAGGUAAUGGCUCACCAAGGCGACGAUCCCUAGCUGGUCUGAGAGGAUGAUCAGCCACACUGGAACUGAGACACGGUCCAGACUCCUACGGGAGGCAGCAGUGGGGAAUAUUGCACAAUGGGCGCAAGCCUGAUGCAGCCAUGCCGCGUGUGUGAAGAAGGCCUUCGGGUUGUAAAGCACUUUCAGUCGUGAGGAAGGUAGUGUAGUUAAUAGCUGCAUUAUUUGACGUUAGCGACAGAAGAAGCACCGGCUAACUCCGUGCCAGCAGCCGCGGUAAUACGGAGGGUGCGAGCGUUAAUCGGAAUUACUGGGCGUAAAGCGCAUGCAGGUGGUUUGUUAAGUCAGAUGUGAAAGCCCGGGGCUCAACCUCGGAAUAGCAUUUGAAACUGGCAGACUAGAGUACUGUAGAGGGGGGUA
This 602-nucleotide ribosomal RNA is filed under the name Vibrio harveyi. RNAcentral's name for it is "bacterial SSU rRNA". It matches the Rfam family "Bacterial small subunit ribosomal RNA", at positions 68 to 663 of the family's 1533-position model. Lineage: Bacteria; Pseudomonadati; Pseudomonadota; Gammaproteobacteria; Vibrionales; Vibrionaceae. The record is from RNAcentral.